CCUUCAUGAAGCUGGAAUUGCUAGUAAUGGCAGGUCAGCAUACUGCCGUGAAUACGUUCCCGGGCCCUUGUACACACCGCCCGUCACACCAUGAGAGUUGGGAAUACCCGAAGCCUGUGAGCUAACUUUUAGAGGCAGCAGUCGAAGGUAGAAUCAAUGAUUGGGGUGAAGUCGUAACAAGGUAAC
This 186-nucleotide ribosomal RNA is filed under the name uncultured bacterium. Its description in RNAcentral is "partial 16S ribosomal RNA". It matches the Rfam family "Bacterial small subunit ribosomal RNA", at positions 1315 to 1500 of the family's 1533-position model. The record is from RNAcentral.